This 497-nucleotide ribosomal RNA is filed under the name uncultured bacterium. Its description in RNAcentral is "partial 16S ribosomal RNA". It matches the Rfam family "Bacterial small subunit ribosomal RNA", at positions 28 to 507 of the family's 1533-position model. The record is from RNAcentral.
GACGAACGCUGGCGGCGUGCCUAAUACAUGCAAGUCGAGCGCUGAAGGGUGGUACUUGUCCCAAGUGUAGGAGCAGCGAACGGGUGAGUAACGCGUGGGGAAUCUGCCUUGGAGCGGGGGACAACAUGUGGAAACGAAUGCUAAUACCGCAUAAAGACUUUAAACACAAGUUUUAAGGUUUAAAGAUGCAAUUGCAUCACUCAAAGAUGAUCCCGCGUUGUAUUAGCUAGGUGGUGAGGUAAAGGCUCACCAAGGCGAUGAUACAUAGCCGACCUGGAAGGGUGGUCGGGCCAAUCGGGAACGGGACCAGGCCCCAACCCCCUAGGGAGGGAGCAGUAGGGAAACUUUGGCCAUGGACGAAAGUCUGAACGAGGAAAGCCGCGGGAGUGAAGAAGGGUGUCCGAUCGUAAAACUCUGUUGGUAGGGAAGAACGCUGGUGAGAGUAGAACGCGCAUCUAGUGACGGUACCUAACCAGAAAGGACCGGCUAACUACGUG